UAGGUAGGCGUAGGUGAUCCUUUGGGCCAGGAGGCAACACACGCUAUUUGCGCUGGCAUGGGUGGAGUACGUACUGCAGGUGACAUGGUACUCAGAAUGC
This 100-nucleotide non-coding RNA is filed under the name bovine gut metagenome. RNAcentral describes it as "Pyrrolysine insertion sequence mtbB". It matches the Rfam family "Pyrrolysine insertion sequence mtbB". The record is from RNAcentral. RNAcentral also lists the same sequence under 1 other name.